UACGUAGGUGGCAAGCGUUGUCCGGAUUUAUUGGGCUUAAAGGGUGCGUAGGUGGUCUAUUAAGUCAGUGCUGAAAUAUCCCGGCUUAACCGGGAGGGUGGCAUUGAUACUGAUAGACUUGAGUAAAGUUGAGGUGGGCGGAAUUGACGGUGUAGCGGUGAAAUGCUUAGAUAUCGUCAAGAACACCUAUUGCGAAGGCAGCUCACUAAGCUUUAACUGACACUGAGGCACGAAAGUGUGGGGAGCAAACAGG
This 253-nucleotide ribosomal RNA is filed under the name uncultured bacterium. RNAcentral's name for it is "partial 16S ribosomal RNA". It matches the Rfam family "Bacterial small subunit ribosomal RNA", at positions 524 to 776 of the family's 1533-position model. The record is from RNAcentral.